This 429-nucleotide ribosomal RNA is filed under the name Actinobaculum sp. oral taxon 183. RNAcentral's name for it is "bacterial SSU rRNA". It matches the Rfam family "Bacterial small subunit ribosomal RNA", at positions 28 to 451 of the family's 1533-position model. Lineage: Bacteria; Bacillati; Actinomycetota; Actinomycetes; Actinomycetales; Actinomycetaceae. The record is from RNAcentral.
GACGAACGCUGGCGGCGUGCUUAACACAUGCAAGUCGAACGGGCUCUGUCUGGCUGUGUGCUGGGUGGGGUUAGUGGCGAACGGGUGAGUAAUACGUGAGUAACCUGCCCUCUUCUUUGGGAUAAGCCUUGGAAACGGGGUUUAAUACUGGAUAUUCCUGUCUGGUCGCAUGGCUGGGUGGGGAAAGUUUUUUCGGUGGGGGAUGGGCUCGCGGCCUAUCAGCUUGUUGGUGGGGUGAUGGCCUACCAAGGCGUCGACGGGUAGCCGGCCUGAGAGGGUGACCGGCCACACUGGGACUGAGAUACGGCCCAGACUCCUACGGGAGGCAGCAGUGGGGGAUAUUGCACAAUGGGCGCAAGCCUGAUGCAGCGACGCCGCGUGGGGGAUGACGGCUUUCGGGUUGUAAACCUCUUUCGUCGGGGGACAAGG